UACGUAGGGGGCUAGCGUUGUCCGGAAUCAUUGGGCGUAAAGAGCGCGUAGGCGGCCAGAUAAGUCCGGUGUGAAAGUCAAAGGCUCAACCUUUGAAUGCCGCUGGAAACUGUCUGGCUAGAGUCCGGAAGAGGAGAGUGGAAUUCCUGGUGUAGCGGUGAAAUGCGCAGAUAUCAGGAAGAACACCCGUGGCGAAGGCGGCUCUCUGGGACGGUACUGACGCUGAGACGCGAAAGCGUGGGGAGCGAACAGG
This 253-nucleotide ribosomal RNA is filed under the name uncultured bacterium. RNAcentral's name for it is "partial 16S ribosomal RNA". It matches the Rfam family "Bacterial small subunit ribosomal RNA", at positions 524 to 776 of the family's 1533-position model. The record is from RNAcentral.